GACAGAGGGGGCAAGCGUUGUCCGGACUGACUGGGCGUAAAGCGUCCGCAGGCGGCGCGGCAAGUGUGGUGUGAAAGCGCCCGGCUUAACCGGGCGAGGCCACCGCAGACUGCCGUGCUCGAGGGGUGCAGAGGCGGGUGGAAUUGCCGGUGUAGUGGUGAAAUGCGUAGAGAUCCGGAGGAACCCCAGAGGCGAAGGCGGCCACCUGGUUCAGCACUGACGCUCAGACACGACAGCAUGGGGAGCAAACGGG
This 253-nucleotide ribosomal RNA is filed under the name uncultured prokaryote. Its description in RNAcentral is "partial 16S ribosomal RNA". It matches the Rfam family "Bacterial small subunit ribosomal RNA", at positions 524 to 776 of the family's 1533-position model. The record is from RNAcentral.